RNAcentral lists this ribosomal RNA (301 nucleotides) under uncultured bacterium. Its description in RNAcentral is "partial 16S ribosomal RNA". It matches the Rfam family "Bacterial small subunit ribosomal RNA", at positions 509 to 807 of the family's 1533-position model. The record is from RNAcentral.
CAGCCGCCACGGUAAUACGAAGGGUGCAAGCGUUACUCGGAAUUACUGGGCGUAAAGCGUGCGCAGGUGGUGGUUUAAGUCCGUUGUGAAAGCCCUGGGCUCAACCUGGGAAUUGCAGUGGAUACUGGGUCACUAGAGUGUGGUAGAGGAUAGUGGAAUUUCCGGUGUAGCAGUGAAAUGCGUAGAGAUCGGAAGGAACAUCUGUGGCGAAGGCGGCCAUCUGGGACAACACUGACGCUGAGGCACGAAAGCGUGGGGAGCAAACAGGAUUAGAUACCCCUGUAGUCCCUGUCUCUUAUAC